RNAcentral lists this ribosomal RNA (300 nucleotides) under uncultured Pseudomonas sp. RNAcentral describes it as "bacterial SSU rRNA". It matches the Rfam family "Bacterial small subunit ribosomal RNA", at positions 496 to 795 of the family's 1533-position model. Lineage: Bacteria; Pseudomonadati; Pseudomonadota; Gammaproteobacteria; Pseudomonadales; Pseudomonadaceae. The record is from RNAcentral.
GCGAACAAGGGUCGAGCGGCCGGGGUAGUACGUAGGGGGCAAGCGUUAUACGGGUGGACUGGGUGUAAAGGGAGCGUAGAAGGCGAUGCAAGCGAGAUGGGAAAGCCCGGGGCUCAACCCCGGGACGGCAUUUGGAACGGCGUGGCUGGAGUGUCGGAGAGGCAGGCGGAAUUCCUAGUGUAGCGGUGAAAUGCGUAGAUAUUAGGAGGAACACCAGUGGCGAAGGCGGCCUGCUGGACGAUGACUGACGUUGAGGCUCGAAAGCGUGGGGAGCAAACAGGAUUAGAUACCCGAGUAGUC